Molecule: long non-coding RNA, 2127 nt
Organism: Phasianus colchicus (ring-necked pheasant)
Lineage: Eukaryota; Metazoa; Chordata; Aves; Galliformes; Phasianidae
Source: Ensembl
CCAGGACCUGGUGAGGGCAGGGUCACAAGGAAAGGCUGUGGGAUAAGUGGUGGGAGGGUGGGAAUAUGGGUGCAGUGUCCUCUACUGUGCUCCUCUGGGAUGAGGAGAAGGGUCUCAUUAUUGGCCAGGAGGGGAGGGGAGCGGAGGAUGCCACUGAGUAUCAGUGUAGGGUGUUGCCAGUGGUGGCUGGGGCUGUGCUGAUGGCCCCAGGGCUGCUGCCAAGGUUGGAGGGCUACAAAGCUGUCCUGUGCUCUACGUGCUUGCUUUUAUGACAAAGAAAAGUCACGUACUUGGGGCUGCAGAGAGCUCAAUGGAGGGAAACCACCUUGUGCCAUGGGAUCACUGGGGCUGUGCCAGGCUGUGUGUGCCCAGCACAGGGCGAGCAGGCUCAGCUUAGCUUGAGCAAAGGCAAUCCAGCCUGCCCACUGCUGCUAAAGGAUGGUGAGCACUGUGCUGUGUCCAAUGCAUGGGAGCAAGUUCAAAUCCUCUGCCAUCGGUGCACAAUUGGGCUCAGUGCUCAGCCUGGGCAGUGUGAGGCCACAGUGUGGCAUCUCUAUAGAAACCCUGUGUUUGUUGGCAGCACAGCAAGCUGCUGCUGGCCUGCCUGCUCCUCAGAGAGAAUGAGAGAAAAGGUUUCAGCCCUGCAGCCUUUUGAGGAUGUUUUGUUCCCAGUUUUACCAUGUGCUCAGUGAUGGGUGCUAUCUUGAAGGAAAUCCUGGAGCCUCUGGAGCAGAACGCUUUGACUACUUGAUGCAGAUGGAGACGUCUUCUAUCAACACCUUCAGGAACUCACAUACAGAGCACAAUCAGCCCUCAGCCAACGUGGGCCUGCCAGGCCACCUGCUCCAGUGCCACCUGCCCCAGUGCCCCCGCACAUACCCUGCCUACACCACACACACGGCCCCGGUGGUGAAGAUGCUCAUGGAGCAGGAUGGGAGGAGAAGGCCCACAGCCACCUGUCCUGUGGCCACUGAGCAGAGCACAGCAUCACCAGGAGCUGCCACUGCAGGGACGCCCUCAGUGCCAUCCACAGCGAGUGGAGGCAGCAGCAGUGAAGGUGUGGAGGGCUCCGUGGAGAAGGCAGUGCCCAAGAGCAGCUUGUCACCACCAAGUGUUUGCAGCAGGGUGAUCUUUGCCAGAAAGGCUCCGCUGCGUGUGGCACCGUGCAGCAAGAAGAAAUGAGACCUGUGUAGCUGGGAACAAACAGAACAAGGAGAAUCUCCACUGUUUUCCUGAGUGCAUUAAACUACAAGUGAAAACAGCACUCUCAGCUUUCAGAACCUUUCCCUCAAAGCCCCAUUGGAAUGAAAGAUAAGCACAGAAGGGGGUGAUGCUGCAUUUUGCAAUUGUCUGGACAAAACUCAGCCCUACAGCCAGGCAGUGCCCACAGCGUGUGCAGGGCAGGGCAGGAUGGAGACGUGGAUGCCUGUGUGCCCACGCAGCCUGGAACACAGAGCCCUGUUUUCUGCUCCACUGCAGCUCAUCCCCCUGCUGGCACUGCAGCUUUGGGUGCCUCUGGUGGGGGCUGGGAUGGGGGUAACAACCCUCUGGGGGGCUCUGUGCAUCCCUCUCUGCAUCCCAGUGAGAUGUGGGGCUGCUGUGCAGAAGAUGCACUGAGCAAAUCUGUGCCCCACUCGCUUCUUGGAGCACAGAAUAGAAGGGAGGAAGGCUGACUGCUGACACUGAGGACUGGUCUUUGCACUUACCAAAUGUAUGUAUGUAUACGCACAUGUAUAGGUACCUUCAUGCACAAGUGAACCAAAAGCAAAGCAGCUGCAAAGCUGAGUGUGCAGCAGGUGGACGAGCUGCUUUCCUUUCUCACUCAUAGCUGAUGUUGUCUCUGAUGACAGAGAUGCUAAGGUCAGAACUGCAAUGUGAGAUGUGCUGUGUGUUGCUGCCCAGAUCUGUCUGUAUUCAUGCUUCAGCAGCUCCAUCCCAGCAGCAGUGACUGAUGCUUCAGUACCAGGCAUGUCAAAGCUGCUGGAAAAAUGCUCUGAAGGAGCAGCUUCCUGCAGCACUAUGGCUGGAGAUAGAAAAGCUUGAGGGACUUAAUGGUUUUAUCAAAAGCAAUAGUUGGAAAUGCAGUGUAUCUUCAGCAAAGGUGGAAAUGCUCCCUCUCUAUCAGUG